AAGUCGUAACAAGGUUUCCGUAGGUGAACCUGCGGAAGGAUCAUUAAAAAAGAGAUAAUUUUACACCGAGCAAGAGAAGACACAAAAAUAUAUAUUAGUUGAUUUUAAUAAAAACAACUUUUAGCAACGGAUCUCUAGGUUCUC
This 144-nucleotide unclassified non-coding RNA is filed under the name fungal sp. RNAcentral's name for it is "partial internal transcribed spacer region". The stretch from base 1 to 46 matches the Rfam family "Eukaryotic small subunit ribosomal RNA", at positions 1786 to 1831 of the family's 1831-position model. Lineage: Eukaryota; Fungi. The record is from RNAcentral. RNAcentral also lists the same sequence under 1 other name.